RNAcentral lists this unclassified non-coding RNA (208 nucleotides) under rhizosphere metagenome. RNAcentral's name for it is "partial ribosomal RNA internal transcribed spacer region". The record is from RNAcentral.
AGAGAUAGGGUCUCACGGCCCGACCUCCAACCCUUUGUUGUUUAAAAAAAACCUGUUGCUUUGGCGGGACCGUUCGUCCUCGUGACGGACUGUCGGUCUUCGGCCCGGCAAGCGCCCGCCAGAGUCCAACCAAACUCUUGAUAUAACCAGUCGUCUGAGAAUAAAGAUUUAAUCAAUUAAAACUUUCAACAACGGAUCUCUUGGUUCU